RNAcentral lists this ribosomal RNA (503 nucleotides) under uncultured bacterium. RNAcentral's name for it is "partial 16S ribosomal RNA". It matches the Rfam family "Bacterial small subunit ribosomal RNA", at positions 30 to 523 of the family's 1533-position model. The record is from RNAcentral.
AUUGAACGCUGGCGGUAGGCUUAACACAUGCAAGUCGAGCGGGGUGAUGGUGCUUGCACUAUCACUUAGCGGCGGACGGGUGAGUAAUGCUUAGGAAUCUGCCUAUUAGUGGGGGACAACAUCUCGAAAGGGAUGCUAAUACCGCAUACGUCCGACGGGAGAAAGCAGGGGAACGCUUGUGACCUUGUGCUAAUAGAUGAGCCUAAGUCGGAUUAGCGAGUUGGUGGGGUAAAGGCCUACCAAGGCGACGAUCUGUAGCGGGUCUGAGAGGGUGAUCCGCCACACUGGGACUGAGACACGGGCCAGACUCCUACGGGAGGCAGCAGUGGGGAAUAUUGGACAAUGGGGGGAAACCUGAUCCAGCCAUGCCGCGUGUGUGAAGAAGGCCUUAUGGUUGUAAGGCACUUUAAGCGAGGAGGAGGCUUACCUAGUUAAUACCUGGGAUAAGUGGACGUUACUCGCAGAAUAAGCACCGGCUAACUCUGUGCCAGCCGCCGCGGUAA